RNAcentral lists this long non-coding RNA (2629 nucleotides) under Olea europaea subsp. europaea. The record is from RNAcentral. Lineage: Eukaryota; Viridiplantae; Streptophyta; Magnoliopsida; Lamiales; Oleaceae.
AAACUCCAAUUGGUGGUACACGUUUUCCAUUAUAACUCAACCACUUUUUAUUACUAUAAAUAUUAUACAUGGGUUUCAUAUUUCACCAUACCAAAAAAUUUACACACACGUGAAAGAGAAGAGAGAGAGAGGAUAUUUUUGGGAGUUAGAAGACAAAAAGCUAAUUUGCAACCAUUAUGCACUAAAAAUAGAGAAAAGAUUUUGGGCACGUGCUUUCAUAUUUUCAUUUUAUUAAACGAGGUAAGUACAUUUGUAUAAGUGUUUUCAUUUCCUUAUACUCUUAUAUUCAAUUAAAUAUGUAUGGAUUGCCAGUAGACUUUCGGGUUCUUUAAAAAGAGAGAUGAAAUCCUUCAUGAUUAUAAGACGACCUAAGAUGGGUGUGUCGGUUGGUCACCAAUAUACUCCAUAAAAACCGAGUGGUAUGAAGUGUAGAUUUUGUUUGUUAUAUAAUUGUGUAUGAAAAUUGCACGUAUCUUAUUGGGUGUUUUCGAAUACUCACUCUUACAAAUUUUUACAGGUUAGUUCGGGUCAAUUGGAGUGGUUGCGGGAUGGUGAUGCGGACUCCCUAGUGAAUCGAAGAAAGGAAAAUGAAAUUAAGCAUUUGUUCAAAGACUCGUUUGGUUAUUUUAAAUUGAUAUUUAUGGUUGAAAAUAAAGAAUUUCUUUUUAUUUAAAUUGUUCUGCAAUUAUUGUAAAAGAAAAUUGAGUUUUUUCGUAACACCCGGCGUUUUUGAAAAUUUGGGAACAUUACAAUCACCAAUUCACACCUGCUUUGUCACCGCCAUCAUCAACCUCAGUCAUAGUUGUCGACAAUCACCUUGUAUUUGUGGUAGGUCCCUUGCCACUCCACGAAAGGGGAAUUCUUAAUGUGUUCCAAGACUUUCAGCAGCCAUUAACGUACAAAAUAACGAAUUAAGCUAUGGGUACAGGCCCAUUUACCAGACAUUUGACAGGAAUUCAAAAUUUCAUGACGUGGCCAGUCGCUAAAGUCAAGGUAAGACUAAAAUAAACAACAAUGACCUAAAGAAAGAAUAAUCACCCGCCACAACCAAAAAAUGAAAAACGCUGAGUUCGCGGGAAGUAUAGAUCCAUUUUCCCCAGUGCCCCAAACCAAAAUCUCCACAUCUCCGUCACCGAGUCUCCUUACUCAAAAAAUAGAGGAACCCAACAACGACACUCCCCCAUCUCCGGAUAUAUAGAAACUCGAGACCAAUUCUCCAUCAUCUCCGGCAAAGCCGGAGUCUAUUUGCACCAGCAGAACCUAAGGUGAGCUUCUUAAGAUCUGUAGUCGGGCAUUUUUGCUACUUGGUUGGUACACAAAUUGUAGACAUUUUGUAGAUUUUUCGUCCACUUCCCGAGCAUGUAGAUAUUUGGUCCGUUUGAGCUAUUUGGUUGCUAGACAACUUCUACGUCUUUAGCUAUUUUUUGUCAAGCAUUCUAGCUAUUUGGUCCAUUUUCCCCAACAAAACCUAGGAUUCUUUAAUUUGUUUGGAAAGACUUGUAUAAUUUUCUGGUUGUUUGAUUGACACCCCAAGUACCAAGUCUUUGGAUAGAGUUGUAUUAUUAUGUGGUUUUGUGAGUUGAAUUGCAGUAGAAAUAAAUUUGAGAUAUAGAAUACUUUAGUAGAGAAACUGUGAUAUUUUGUCAUAGAAGUUAGGUAGUGUAAAUUUCGGAAUGUGUUUUACUUGAGAACGUAAAUUUUAUCUUAUGCUCUUUUAACAGUUUGUGGCUGUACCAGUACAAAUUCACAUAGUGUAUUAAUGAAUUUUGUGGCAGGAAAGGAGUUUAUGGAAGACGGGAAUCAUGACUCGGGAAACGGUCAAGAAUUUGAAGAAGUUUGGACAUCAACCAGGGUAGUGGUGCUGAAUUUCUUGUUGUUGGCAUGACAUUUUUAGUUAUUUUUAUUUCAAAGGUACUGUUUUUGUUGCUACUAGUCUGGAAUUUAGAUUGGGUGAAUAGAAAUUCAAUGUUGUAGUUUUCCUGAUAUUGGCAUGAAAUUUUGACUUGUUAAGCCAGUUUUUGAAAAAGAAAAUACUGCUAUUUUGUGCUUGUAUCGCAUCAAAUUCGCACAAGUUAAAAGAUAUGUUUACUUUACUGGAAAAAUGUAGUGCUAUUUUGUGUAAAUAUGGACUCCCAAUCAAUCAAAAUUUUCUCAUUUUCAUUUGCACUGCUGAAUUUUAAGAUGGCAUUACAUGCUUUGUGGUAUUAAUUUGGAGUUGUUCAAUGCAGAUUGGAUGCACUCCGUUGCUACUAUAUAUUGGAAGAAUGUAGCUACUCACAACAUGUUCCUCUGUCAUUCGUGGUUCGACGAUGUUUAUUAAUUAUAGAAAUUAGAAGUAUUUCUGUGCUAUUUUAACUUAGUAUGACAUUGAUAUCAUUUCUUUGUCAAAGUAUAAUAGAUAUUUGUUGCUGGAUUUACGUAGAUGUUGGUUGAUGAUUUGUAGCUUUGGUAGGAUGAUGUUUGUCGCUGGAAUUAUGUACAUUUUGAUUAAUGUCAACCUCUUUGGCAGGAUCAUUGUUGGCAGAUUUAUGUACAUUUUGAUUAAUGUUAACCUCUUUGGUAGGAUGAUAUUUGUUGGCGGAUUUAUGUACAUUUUCUUUGACCCAGCAAUAGACAAGGGCGAUCGAGG